CGGCCCUAUGCGUGUCACUUGUGACUGUGUAGAGGUUGAGCAGUAGGCAAGCGACCCGAAAGAUGGUGAACUAUGCCUGAGCAGGAUGAAGCCAGAGGAAACUCUGGUGGAAGUCCGUAUCGGUUCUGACGUGCAAAUCGAUCGAUAGACUUGGGUAUAGGGGCGAAAGACUAAUCGAACCAUCUAGUAGCUGGUUCCUUCCGAAGUUUCCCUCAGGAUAGCUGGAACUCUUGCAGUUAUAUUCGGUAAAGCUAAUGAUUAGAGGCCUUGGGGACGUAAUGUCCUCAACCUAUUCUCAAACUUUCAAUGGAUAUGGCGUCGCAGUUUCUUUAGUGAACUGCGGCGUGAAUGCGAGUUCCAAGUGGGCCAUUUUUGGUAAGCAGAACUGGCGCUGUGGGAUGAACCAAACGUGGAGUUAAGGUGCCUAACUUCUCGCUUAUGAGACCCCAUAAAAGGUGUUGGUUGAUAUUGACAGCAGGACGGUGGCCAUGGAAGUCGGUACCCGCUAAGGAGUGUGUAACAACUCACCUGCCGAAUCAACUAGCCCUGAAAAUAGGAUGGCGCUUAAGCGAGAGACCUAUACUCCGCCGUCGCGGCAUGUGCGUUGUCUAGCGCCAGGUCGCGACGAGUAGGAAGGACGUGGCGGUUGCGUUGAAGGCUAUGAGCGUAGGCUCGGCUGGAGCUUCCGUCAGUGCAGAUCGUAAUGGUAGUAGCAAAUAUUCAAGUUCGAUCCUUGAAGACUGAAGUGGAGAAGGGUUCCACGUGAACAGUAGUUGGAUGUGGGUCAGUCGAUCCUAAGGUACUGGCGAAAGCCUUGUAUCAUCGGUGGCGAAAAGCUUGCUUUUUGUCCCCGCCCGUCGAAAGGGAAUAGGGUUAAUAUUCCCUAACUGAGAUGCAAAGAUUGUGUUCUUCGGAGCACAAGCGCGGUAACGCGUUCGAACUUGGUAAGUCGCUCAGAGACCGAGCUAGAGUUUUCUUCUCUAGUUAAGGAACGGACUCCCUGGAAUUGGUUCAGCCAGAGAUGGGGACGUUGUUUCCGAAAAGCACCGCGGUUUCUGUGGUGUCUCGUGCUCUCUGAACGGCCCUUUAAACACCAAGGGAGGCUAUUAAUUUGCACUCAAUCGUACCGAUAUCCGCAUUAGGUCUCCAAGGUGAACAGCCUCUAGUCGAUAGAA
RNAcentral lists this non-coding RNA (1175 nucleotides) under Caenorhabditis japonica. Its description in RNAcentral is "Eukaryotic large subunit ribosomal RNA". It matches the Rfam family "Eukaryotic large subunit ribosomal RNA", at positions 761 to 1895 of the family's 3401-position model. Lineage: Eukaryota; Metazoa; Nematoda; Chromadorea; Rhabditida; Rhabditidae. The record is from Rfam by way of RNAcentral.